AAAGGUAGCAUAAUCAUUAGGGGUUUAAUUGGAACCUGGUAUGAAGGGUUGGACAAAGGAAAGACUGUCUUUAUGGGAAAAGUUGAAUUUUACUUUUAAGUGAAAAGGCUUAAAUCAUUCAGAGGGACGAUAAGACCCUAUAAAGCUUUAUAACUAACUUAAAUUUAGCUAAUUUAAUUGUAUAAAGAUUAAAUAUAACUAUGUUAUUUUAUUGGGGUGAUAUGAGUAUAGUUAGUGUUAGCUGCUUAAAAAAAUUACUGUUAUAGUAGAGUGAGCAAGUUAAUGAUCCUUUUUAAAGAUUUAAAGAUUAAGUUACUUUAGGGAUAACAGCGUUAUUUCUUUUGAGAGUUCAUAUCGAAAAAGAAGAUUGCGACCUCGAUGUUGAAUUAAAAAGUCUUUGUGGUGCAGCCACUAUAAAAGAAGGUCUGUUCGACCUUUAAAUU
Molecule: ribosomal RNA, 443 nt
Filed under: Tweedieia odhneri
Lineage: Eukaryota; Metazoa; Arthropoda; Malacostraca; Decapoda; Xanthidae
Description: partial 16S ribosomal RNA
Rfam family: Bacterial large subunit ribosomal RNA
Source: RNAcentral